AAACAUAACCUUUAGCUAAACAAAUAUUAAAGGCAACGCCUGCCCAGUGAACAAUUAAACGGCCGCGGUACCCUAACCGUGCAAAGGUAGCAUAAUCAUUUGUCUACUAAUUAUAGACCUGUAUGAAAGGCAAAAUGAGGGCCUAACUGUCUCUUAUAGCGAAUCAAUUAAACUGAUCUCCUAGUAAAAAAGCUAGAAUUUCUCCAUAAGACCAGAAGACCCUGUGAAGCUUAAACUAAACUAUUAAAUCACAUAAUAACUACUUUCGGUUGGGGCGACCUUGGAAAAAAAAAGAACUUCCAACAACCAUGACUAUUCAUCAACCACCCUAGGCCUACAAGCCAACUAACGACCCAGCACAGCUGAUCAAUGAACCAAGUUACUCCAGGGAUAACAGCGCAAUCCUCUUCAAGAGCCCAUAUCAAAAAGAGGGUUUACGACCUCGAUGUUGGAUCAGGACAUCCUAAUGGUGCAGCCGCUAUUAAGGGUUCGUUUGUUCAACGAUUAAUAGUCCCACGUGAUCU
RNAcentral lists this ribosomal RNA (524 nucleotides) under Chironius scurrula. RNAcentral's name for it is "partial 16S ribosomal RNA". It matches the Rfam family "Bacterial large subunit ribosomal RNA", at positions 1811 to 2606 of the family's 2925-position model. Lineage: Eukaryota; Metazoa; Chordata; Lepidosauria; Squamata; Colubridae. The record is from RNAcentral.